RNAcentral lists this ribosomal RNA (292 nucleotides) under uncultured bacterium. RNAcentral's name for it is "partial 16S ribosomal RNA". It matches the Rfam family "Bacterial small subunit ribosomal RNA", at positions 505 to 796 of the family's 1533-position model. The record is from RNAcentral.
GUGCCAGCAGCCGCGGUAAUACAGAGGGUGCAAGCGUUAAUCGGAAUUAUUGGGCGUAAAGGGCGCGUAGGUGGCAACACAAGUCUGAUGUGAAAUCCCUGGGCUUAACCUGGGAACUGCGUUGGAAACGGUGUGGCUAGAGUUGGACAGAGGGCAGUGGAAUUUCCGGUGUAGCGGUGAAAUGCGUAGAGAUCGGAAAGAACACCAGUGGCGAAGGCGACUGCCUGGGUCCAAACUGACACUGAGGCGCGAAAGCGUGGGGAGCAAACAGGAUUAGAUACCCCGGUAGUCC